ACAACAUUUGGACCGGCGGUCUACCGAGCAAUAUCACCCCUCGGUGGAAGAUCUUCCUUUCGUCGU
This 66-nucleotide microRNA precursor is filed under the name Bombyx mori (domestic silkworm). RNAcentral describes it as "mir-2774 microRNA precursor family". It matches the Rfam family "mir-2774 microRNA precursor family". The record is from Rfam by way of RNAcentral. Lineage: Eukaryota; Metazoa; Arthropoda; Insecta; Lepidoptera; Bombycidae.